GUUUGACAUUGUUUUUCCAAUCACUGAAGAUGUUGAAGAGUAGGCAAUAUGAAGAGCCUUUGAACAUUGUCCCUGCAGCUCACCACAAGACAAAAUGAGGAACUUAAUGAAGCCACAGCAGCAGAUUAUUUAGCAGAUAACCUCACUCGAAGACCAACAGAUGCAGCACGCAUUUAUGUCAACGUGGAACCCACACCCGGAACCGUGUGAGCCAGUGUGGGCACCGUAUCAUCCUAGUUUAUAGAACCUAGUGAAGGUGUGAGAGGUUGCCCAGCUGGCAGCGUCACAUAUGUCCUCCACAGGCAUACCCUGGAACAGCACACAGGAUGAGGCCAUAAAUCAA
Long non-coding RNA from Girardinichthys multiradiatus, 343 nucleotides. RefSeq lists it as uncharacterized. Lineage: Eukaryota; Metazoa; Chordata; Actinopteri; Cyprinodontiformes; Goodeidae. The record is from RefSeq and is a predicted model, not a curated record. The transcript has 3 exons.